GAUGCUAAUUUUAAUAUUUCAAAUCCCUCUCCCGGCAACCAUGACUAGAAGAAUGAGCUCGUAAAAAUUCUGCGAGCAGAAUCAUCACGUCUGAUCACUAAUAACAAAAUUUUCCUGAUGCUUUUAUUCAUGAUGUCUUGAAAAAAAUUCAAAAAAAAAAUCGGAAAAAUGUUUUUUCCAAUCAAGUGUCGAGCCAAAAUCCCAAAUUCUUUCGACAUCCGACACCGAUCUAAACCGAAAAAAAUGAAUUUUACCUUCAGAUGCGACAGCUAUAGAUUGCGCAGCCAUCUCGGAGAUCUCAAACCCUGCAACGAUCGAUGGUUGGCGACGGGAAAAAAUUAAAAUGGCAUAAACACCAACGAAUACAUAAAUCCAUAAAAAACACAUCUAGGGUUUACAUUUGGAAUUAGCGUGGAAGCCUUACCUGUUGAAAACCUCCCUCUCUCCCCCCGAUCUACCUCUGCGCGCGCAUGGGCGCCAGGAAAACCCUUGCAUAGGCGACCCUCUGCAAUGGGCCGGGUGCGGGCCAGGUCGAACCGACCGAUCCAGCAGAAGAACUAGUCUAAUCAAGCCGGACACUUGUAGAUAGUUUGUUUUUUUUUUUUAGCAAUAUCUCAGAAAUUAAAUUCUGGCAUCUUG
RNAcentral lists this long non-coding RNA (639 nucleotides) under Phoenix dactylifera (date palm). RNAcentral describes it as "long non-coding RNA (PDAC_LNC016017)". The record is from RNAcentral. Lineage: Eukaryota; Viridiplantae; Streptophyta; Magnoliopsida; Arecales; Arecaceae.